UACGUAGGUCCCGAGCGUUGUCCGGAUUUAUUGGGCGUAAAGCGAGCGCAGGUGGUUUAAUAAGUCUGAUGUAAAAGGCAGUGGCUCAACCAUUGUGUGCAUUGGAAACUGUUAGACUUGAGUGCAGUAGAGGAGAGUGGAAUUCCAUGUGUAGCGGUGAAAUGCGUAGAUAUAUGGAGGAACACCGGUGGCGAAAGCGGCUCUCUGGACUGUCACUGACACUGAGGCUCGAAAGUGCGGGUAUCGAACA
RNAcentral lists this ribosomal RNA (250 nucleotides) under uncultured bacterium. RNAcentral's name for it is "partial 16S ribosomal RNA". It matches the Rfam family "Bacterial small subunit ribosomal RNA", at positions 524 to 774 of the family's 1533-position model. The record is from RNAcentral.